UGCCUUUGGAUAGGUGGAGAUCAAAGUCGGGGAUCCGCAAGGACCUGACGUUCGAGAGGAGCCCGCGGCCGAUUAGCUAGUUGGUGAGGUAACGGCUCACCAAGGCAACGAUCGGUAUCCGGCCUGAGAGGGCGGACGGACACACUGGGACUGAGACACGGCCCAGACUCCUACGGGAGGCAGCAGUGGGGAAUUGUUCGCAAUGGGCGCAAGCCUGACGACGCAACGCCGCGUGGAGGACGAAGAUUUUCGGAUCGUAAACUCCUUUCGAUCGGAAAGAACAGCUUUCGGGUUAACAGCCUGAGAGUCUGACGGUACCGAGAGAAG
RNAcentral lists this ribosomal RNA (327 nucleotides) under uncultured soil bacterium. RNAcentral describes it as "bacterial SSU rRNA". It matches the Rfam family "Bacterial small subunit ribosomal RNA", at positions 181 to 487 of the family's 1533-position model. The record is from RNAcentral.